This 21-nucleotide non-coding RNA is filed under the name Caenorhabditis elegans. Lineage: Eukaryota; Metazoa; Nematoda; Chromadorea; Rhabditida; Rhabditidae. The record is from RNAcentral.
UAACUUAAAUAGAUAUACAGA